This 372-nucleotide ribosomal RNA is filed under the name uncultured organism. Its description in RNAcentral is "bacterial SSU rRNA". It matches the Rfam family "Bacterial small subunit ribosomal RNA", at positions 526 to 896 of the family's 1533-position model. The record is from RNAcentral.
CGUAGGGUGCGAGCGUUAAUCGGAAUUACUGGGCGUAAAGCGUGCGCAGGCGGUUUUGUAAGACAGGCGUGAAAUCCCCGGGCUCAACCUGGGAACUGCGCUUGUGACUGCAAGGCUAGAGUACGGCAGAGGGGGGUGGAAUUCCACGUGUAGCCGUGAAAUGCGUAGAGAUGUGGAGGAACACCAAUGGCGAAGGCAGCCCCCUGGGUCGAUACUGACGCUCAUGCACGAAAGCGUGGGUAGCAAACAGGAUUAGAUACCCUGGUAGUCCACGCCCUAAACGAUGUCAACUAGGUGUUGGGUGGGUAAAACCAUUUAGUACCGGAGCUAACGCGUGAAGUUGACCGCCUGGGGAGUACGGCCGCAAGGUUA